GAUUCCGGAAGAUGUCGCAGUUUUCUGACUGCAAGAGCUUGAAGCCCACCGCGAGGUGAUGGUUCUCCAACACUGACAUGUCAUUGUACAUCAGCGCCAGCUCCGAGUCUAUGGGAACAGCCGAGGCCUCGGGACCCCACUCCACCCAAAGACAGCUGGGGUGGGGACGUCACUAGCCAACUCCUAAGUAUGCGGUGAAGCCCAAACUCUAAUGCCGCUUCAUGCAUGCAGAAAGCCAUCCAAGCCCCGGACACGCCUCUGAGUCUGCACGCUAGGGUGGUCCAGGCUGUCUUGAGCAGCUGUUUAUGGUCACCUCACUCACUGGUGUUGAUGAGAAACUGAUUGGAGACGCCCGGGUGGUCCACGUCAUGGAUAGCGCAUGCAAAGAUAGCCGCCAAGACUUCCAGAUCUGUGAACACAGCCUGGGCAGGUCCGGGGCGUCAGGGCCGAGGGUGGCACUCUUCCCUGCGCCCACCCACUGUCCUCAGCCGGGCAUGGUACCUCCAGGGCAGGGGUGCCCAGCAACACGUGCGCGGACUGGGCCACGUCCGCGGCGUGCACACUGUUGUGGUACGGCACGUCAGCAUGGUAGUGAGCCUCCAGCGUGAGCAGGAACGUCAGCAGCGUGUCCGCCGGAAUCUGGAACGUCUUGAGCAGGGAAGAACUGAGGACCGAACGUCCCGGGGAGGCACCUGGAAGACGCUGAACAUGACGGCUGUGAGCGGCUGGUUCCCGCUCAGCUCAGCCACUUUGAACACAUCAAGUCCCCACUUGUUGGUGUCUUCAAGUUCCUACGAGUGACCAGGUAGCGUCAGCGGCUCCACUGUCGCCGGCUGCCCAGUGUCCAGGGAGGAAAACUGAGGCCUGUAGCUCUGGGGAGACCGACCUUAGCCAGCUGCGCCUCCUGGUCUGUCUGGACCCCGAAGCGGGGGACGGCAGUUGUGGGGAGGCUGGCGGGGCGGGGCCCGCGCAGGGCACUGAUCCGGGACAUGGGCGGUGUGUCCUCCGUGGGCAGCCUGGGAAGCUCCACCUCCGCCGGCUGGUCUGCAGGGGACGGGUGGCUCACUCUCACAAGUUCUGGUUCUAGCAGGAUCCCAGCCCACCUGUUCCCUCGGUCAGCAGCUCAUCUGCAGGCUUCCUUUGUGACUUGAGUCACAGGUUCCCCAAACUCAUGCUUCAGAACACUACCUGCCAUGUCCUCUCCCCCCGAAAGUGUUCCUGUUCAUCUCUUUCCUUCAGCCCUGACCAACUGUGUUGGGUGAGAUCUCCUUCUCCUCCACACAAGGGUUGUAAUGGUGUCUGCUUGCCCUCCUUCAGGAGGUUGCCCAGGCGGCUCACCCAGGAAGGUCUGGGAGAUGUACUCCGACACCUGGUUCCCUGAGCGGCUGGUUUCCGACAGAUGGGUCAACUCGCGGUUGAGAAUGCGCUUGAACUGUGGAGCAGGGAGGGUGGCAGGGAGGACGAUGAGCAGGGAGGAGGAUGAGCAGGGAGGGGGACGAGCAGGUUUGCUGUGUCCUCACCUUGUUGGAUGCCAUCUCUCCCACAGAGCGCCGCGUCUGUAGUGUCUCCAACUGCUCCAGGCACCAGUCCAGCUCCUCCAGCGUCUCCUGCGCCAGCUGCAGCCCAGCGUCCUCUGGAGGCCAAGCGGAUCAGGGAGGGACCGCCAGUGGAGAGCCUGUGCCCCUCCAUCUCCGCACCCCAACCCUUGGAGCCCCGGGUCACGGUUCCACAGCUCCCGCGAGUGCUGUGAGACAGGCCAACAACCCUCUCUAGCCUGUAACUUGUGCGGGAGGGUGGCAGGGAACGGACUCGGACUCCGUGCAAAGGUGGGUUUGGGGGUAAGCCGGCUUACAAUGAGCUGCUGCAGUAGUCCAAGGGCAGGCUGAGAGACUCCAACAGCUGCCCUCGGGGUGGAAGUGGGGGUGCAUACCUGUGGUGGCGGCCAGCUGGCUGCCACACGGAGGGGUCCCCAAGAGUGGCUGCCUGCGCGGACAGGACGUCAGAGGGGGCCCACCUCUCCAGACUCAUCCAAACCCCCAUUCUCCCCACCCUUGUACCCCAAGCACCCAAAGCAUAGCACACCUUCAGGCCCCGUCCCUCCGCCACCCUCUCAGUACCUGGUGGUGCUGCCUGGGCUCUGGGCAAGGGCGGCCACGUUGCUGCGGACCGUUCUGAGGCUGGCCAGAACCUGCCGUGAGCAAGGAAGGCCACCAGUGAGGACAUCUGCUGGCUUUAGAGAGCCCUCCUCUAAUGAUUCCUGACUCGGGCCUUCAGGUUCUGGCUCUCCCAGAGAAAACUACAACCUCUCCAACCAAUCCUCCAGGUUAUCCACAUCUAAAAUGGGGAAACUGAGUCCUAAUGACAGUAGGGGUCUAAGAGUCAGGACAGAAGUAACUGUUUCCCUUCUCGUCACAGCUACUAGGGAGCUCAAAUAAAAGUAUUAGUGCAGCUGCUGCUAAUUGACCUUACUGUUCACGGAUUAAUGUGUCACUCUGUCCCCAACAGACCAUUGAUAUUCACUAUAUGCUGGAUGUUAACA
Molecule: long non-coding RNA, 2539 nt
Organism: Arvicola amphibius (Eurasian water vole)
Lineage: Eukaryota; Metazoa; Chordata; Mammalia; Rodentia; Cricetidae
Exons: 3
Source: RefSeq, a predicted model, not a curated record